This is a long non-coding RNA of Pezoporus occidentalis (night parrot), 480 nucleotides long. RefSeq lists it as uncharacterized. The record is from RefSeq and is a predicted model, not a curated record. The transcript has 2 exons. Lineage: Eukaryota; Metazoa; Chordata; Aves; Psittaciformes; Psittacidae.
UUGCAGAACCUGGUAUGGCCUCAUGUGCAAAGUCCCAGUUUAUGAGAGAAGGAGGAAAGGCCUUGCACCAGCGAGUGACCAAGCUCAAAGCACUUGAGAAGAGGAUCUAUCCCUUUCUUACCCUAGCAAGGAGACAAUCAAUAAUAGAAGUGAAAAAUGAGGAGUGACCAUUUUUCUUUUGCUGGGGAAAGAGAGAUGCUCCUAUCCAAUCCAAAGACAAAUAAGAUGGAUUUAUGGAUCAUUUGUUUUUGAAAUUAAAAGCUCUGCUUGUGCUGCUGAAACCAUGGUUUCAUGGCAUAACAACAUGGUUGGACAAUAGUUUCUUCCUCCUACCAAUGGAAACAGUGGUGAGUAGAGCAUUAAUAUGCAUGUGGGAAGUACAACAUGACAGCUAUGACAAAUACAUGGUUGCAUUUGCCUGUUGGAUCAACCUCAGUUACUGUUAACUCCCAGGUUAUCGAAGUAAAGGAACAAGGUGGA